UACGUAGGGUGCAAGCGUUAAUCGGAAUUACUGGGCGUAAAGCGUGCGCAGGCGGUUUUGUAAGUCUGUCGUGAAAGCCCCGGGCUCAACCUGGGAAUGGCGAUGGAAACUGGCGAGCUAGAGUACGGUAGAGGAGAGUGGAAUUCCCGGUGUAGCAGUGAAAUGCGUAGAGAUCGGGAGGAACAUCAGUUGCGAAGGCGGCUCUCUGGACCAGUACUGACGCUGAGGCACGAAAGCGUGGGGAGCAAACAGG
RNAcentral lists this ribosomal RNA (253 nucleotides) under uncultured bacterium. Its description in RNAcentral is "partial 16S ribosomal RNA". It matches the Rfam family "Bacterial small subunit ribosomal RNA", at positions 524 to 776 of the family's 1533-position model. The record is from RNAcentral.